This 368-nucleotide transfer-messenger RNA is filed under the name Methylacidiphilales. Its description in RNAcentral is "GAS474 sp900105685 Standard tmRNA". It matches the Rfam family "transfer-messenger RNA". Rfam says of the family: Bacterial tmRNA, also known as 10Sa RNA or SsrA, is named for its dual tRNA and mRNA-like properties. Its role is to liberate the mRNA from a stalled ribosome. To accomplish this part of the tmRNA is used as a reading frame that ends in a translation stop signal. The record is from RNAcentral. RNAcentral also lists the same sequence under 1 other name. Lineage: Bacteria; Pseudomonadati; Verrucomicrobiota; Methylacidiphilae.
GGGGGCGCAUUUGGCAUCGAUUUCGAUGUGCGGCUGCCCGCGGCAAGUCGAGGGCUGUGAAUUGGUUGGCCUCGUAAAAAAACCAGUUCAAAAAAAUAAAAGCCAACGAAGAAUUGGCCCUCGCUGCUUAAUUAAAAAAUAAGCACGACGUCGUUGCUCCGACUCCGGCUGGGAGACAACGGCGCUAUUAGCCGGGCGGGUGUGCAAGGUGAGUGACCGACCUUGCAUGUCGGCAUCAACGUGGUGACUGGGAUGGUGGGGCCUGCGAUCCGGCAACUCACCGUUCGAGAACAAAUGGAUCGCUAAACUUGUAGAAGCGGCUGGCUAAUCGCCGAAAGACGGGGGUUCGAAUCCCCCCGCCUCCACCA